CCCUUAGAUGUUCUGGGCCGCACACGCGCUACACUGAAGGAGGCAGCGUGUACUCCUGGAUCGAAAGAUUUGGGUAACCCGCGAAUCUCCUUCGUGCUAGGGAUUGAGGUUUGCAAUUAUCCUUCAUGAACGAGGAAUUCCCAGUAAGUGCAAGUCAUAAGCUUGCGCUGACUACGUCCCUGCCCUUUGUACACACCGCCCGUCGCUACUACCGAUUGAAUGAUUUAGUGAGGACUUCGGACUGGGACCGAUGCGGCUUUCGGGCUGCGUCGGUAUUCUGGAAAGAUGUCCAAACCUUAUCAUUUAGAGGAAGGAGAAGUCGUAACA
RNAcentral lists this ribosomal RNA (327 nucleotides) under uncultured eukaryote. RNAcentral describes it as "partial 18S ribosomal RNA". It matches the Rfam family "Eukaryotic small subunit ribosomal RNA", at positions 1470 to 1796 of the family's 1831-position model. The record is from RNAcentral.